UUUCCGUAGGUGAACCUGCGGAAGGAUCAUUAGCGAGUUUUGACUGGGUUGUAUCUUGCCUUCCGAGGCAUGUGCACGUCCUGCUCAUCCACUCUACAGCUGUCCACUUGCUGUGGGUAUCGCAUCGUGAACAGUGCUCUUUUACCGGAGCUUGCGGAGCUUGUCUGUGCCUGCGUUUAUCUCAAACACUAUAAAGUAUCAGAAUUCGUACUACGACGUAACGCAUCUAUAUACAACUUUCAACAACGGAUCUCUUGGCUCUC
RNAcentral lists this unclassified non-coding RNA (263 nucleotides) under plant metagenome. RNAcentral describes it as "partial contains small subunit ribosomal RNA, internal transcribed spacer 1, and 5.8S ribosomal RNA". The record is from RNAcentral.